Non-coding RNA from Mycena galericulata, 86 nucleotides. The record is from the annotation of a GenBank genome assembly. NCBI's taxonomy places the organism in Eukaryota, Fungi, Basidiomycota, Agaricomycetes, Agaricales, Mycenaceae.
GCCUCCUUGGUUCAGUGGUUAAGCCGCUGCAACAAUUCCUCUUCAAGCAAUUGGAGAGGUCAUGGGUUCGAUUCCCUAAGGAGGUG